UGUGGGUGUGCUUCGAUGUGCGAACUCUGGCUGUGGACGUACGUGUCUGGUGGAUGAUGCACAGCCGCUUGAACGUGUUACUGCCGGUUGUGUUCUGAUUUGGGGUGCUGCUCGACCCCGUGGUGAUUGGUACACAAGGACGUCAGGUCGCACGAUAAAGACACAACCCUCCAUGACCUGAUGCAUCACCGGCGGGAAGAUCGCUCGGUUAUAACACGCCACGUACCAACCUAUCGUCCCCCGACAUCACCCAGAGCAGACGCGCCGGAAGGUGGGGGCACGGAAGUCGACAGCCUCCCUCGAGCUCGGGCUGUGGGUGCCGCGCCCCCAUUCCCCUUCAUGCAUAGAGAUCGGACAGGGUACCUGACAUUCUCUUAUAAAGCACGUUCUUUACA
Long non-coding RNA from Ornithodoros turicata, 395 nucleotides. RefSeq lists it as uncharacterized. Lineage: Eukaryota; Metazoa; Arthropoda; Arachnida; Ixodida; Argasidae. The transcript has 2 exons. The record is from RefSeq and is a predicted model, not a curated record.